This 1296-nucleotide long non-coding RNA is filed under the name Fragaria vesca (wild strawberry). RNAcentral describes it as "long non-coding RNA (FVES_LNC004201)". Lineage: Eukaryota; Viridiplantae; Streptophyta; Magnoliopsida; Rosales; Rosaceae. The record is from RNAcentral.
GGCGGAGCUAGGCCGAGAAGAAAAUCUGGCAGGCGAAAUAGACUUCUUACCAUCCACCUUCGGUAAUAUAAAGAACUUUAGCCGACGAAAUUCUUUAUUUUCGUCGGCUAAACUCUUUUGAAAAUUUUGAAAAUUUUGGUUGCCCACCAAAAAAUUUUGGUUGAAAAUUUUGAAAAUUUUCGACUUUAGCCGACAACUUUUCAUAUAUUUUCGUCGGCUAAAGUCCUUUGAAAAUUUUCCUCCAAAUUUGGUUUACCGCCCAAAAAUUUUUGACCUUAGCCAACGACUUUUUUAAUAUCUCGUCGGCUAAAGUCUAUAAAUUCACGAAAAUGCUCAUAUCUCCCUGUAUAUUAUGUAGUUUGGUCAAACCUUCCACACGAAAAACUUUUACGUAGAUGAGACGCAACCGCCUAUAUAAAAAUUUUGAGACAUUUGCCUUCCGACGAUAGGGCUCCCCAUAGGGAAUAAUAACGGUAAAUAGGGUUGACCGCUACUAUCGGCACCGAAACUUUACCCGAUUUACGUGAUUUUUGUACCAUAGCCGUAUUUCACCAUUCUGAACACAUCUUAUUUCACGAGAUUUUUGAUAAUUUUGCUUCCUAUAUAGAGUUGGUUCACAAAGUUGUAUAACCUACUAAACAAGUUAUACAACAUUAGUAGACACGUUGUGAUUCCGAUGACUAAAAUUCACAAACCAAAAUUCGACCGUCAAAUAAGAUCAUUAUGACGAAAGAUGUCUAUGGUAAAAAAUUCAACUGGAUCCGACAACGUUAAUAACUCGAUCGAAACGGGUAACCCUAAUCCAUCGUCACUUAUCACACGAAAACGCUCAUAUCUCCCUCUAUAUUACGUGGUUUGGUCAAACCUUCUACACAAAAAACUCUCACGUAGAUGAGACGCAACUGCUCAUAUAAAAAUUUUGAGACAUUUACCUUCCGACGAUAGGGCUCCCCAUAGGGAAUAAUAACGGUAAAUAGUAGACACGUUGUGAUUCCGAUGACUAAAAUUUACAAACCAAAAUUCGACCGUCCAAUAUGAUCAUUAUGACGAAAGAUGUUUAUGGUAAAAAAUUCAACUGGAUUCGACAACGUUAAGGGCUCGAUCGAAACUGUCAACUCUAAUCGGAAAUAAAAAAACUGCAUUUUGAAGCCCUAAACGGACUCGGAUGGACAAAAAGGCCCAUACAUCAUGGCAUUAGCAAUGAGUUUGACUCGUAGGGCCGUUACGCUUCCGGAAAGGUAUCACAAUAGUCAAUCAGACACCAAAAACCAAAUCUGCAGCAUAGUGAAUAAUAAC